This 160-nucleotide ribosomal RNA is filed under the name Cruentomycena kedrovayae. RNAcentral describes it as "5.8S ribosomal RNA". It matches the Rfam family "5.8S ribosomal RNA". Rfam says of the family: 5.8S ribosomal RNA (5.8S rRNA) is a component of the large subunit of the eukaryotic ribosome. It is transcribed by RNA polymerase I as part of the 45S precursor that also contains 18S and 28S rRNA. The record is from RNAcentral. Lineage: Eukaryota; Fungi; Basidiomycota; Agaricomycetes; Agaricales; Mycenaceae.
ACAACUUUCAACAACGGAUCUCUUGGCUCUCCCAUCGAUGAAGAACGCAGCGAAAUGCGAUAAGUAAUGUGAAUUGCAGAAUUCAGUGAACCAUCGAAUCUUUGAACGCACCUUGCGCCCUUUGGUAUUCCGAAGGGCAUGCCUGUUUGAGUGUCAUUAA